This is a long non-coding RNA of Oncorhynchus tshawytscha (Chinook salmon), 1206 nucleotides long. RefSeq lists it as uncharacterized. NCBI's taxonomy places the organism in Eukaryota, Metazoa, Chordata, Actinopteri, Salmoniformes, Salmonidae. The record is from RefSeq and is a predicted model, not a curated record. The transcript is spliced from 4 exons.
UUGCGUGAUGUUUGCGUGAUGUUUGCGUGAUGUUUGCGUGAUGUUUGCGUGAUGUUUGCGUGAUGUUUGCGUGAUGUUUGCGUGAUGUUUGCGUGAUGUUUGCGUGAUGUUUGCGUGAUGUUUGCGUGAUGUUUGGCUUUGUGUGUUUUUAAACUGCUUGUGUUCAUUGUAAUCCCUAUCAACAAGUUAAGAACACCAACUGGCUGUGCUCAACAGUGUUGGGAAAAUGUUUUUGCCACGACCUUUUGCCUACAGAAUGGACUCAUUUUCCCUGAGGUUGCCUUAACCGCAUGAUCGACCUGGCUAUGACCCAAGAACUGUUGUACCUGGCCAUAGCGGCCCUUCAAAGCUCCCUGGUCCUGUCGCAUCUGGGAGUUGUGGUGUUGUCCAAGUGUUCAGCGUUCUGAUCUGAACUCUUAUAAAAGGAUUUGUAAGACUGCUGCUUCCCCCUUCAUUCCUCAGACUCUGAACAGGCUGGGUGUGUUCCUUCUGGAGUACCUUACCCUAGUAUACUUCCACUACCUCACCUUUCAGUCUCCAAGUAAGUUCUAGGCAGGGCUUCUCUCAGAUUGAAUGUCUGAAGACCAACGGUUCCCACUUCCUGAGGGUGCAGUGGCGGCAGGUUCUAUUCCAGCCCCACUCCCUGCUACAGCAGCCCCACCCUGAGUUGUUAGCCCCGAGCCUAGCCAAGAAGGGCUUGAGGCUAAUUAUGGUGAGCUGUUCAUCACUGAAGAUCCCUGCUGGCACCAGCCAUCUCAGAACCUGCUAUGAGCAUGGGAAUGACCAAUGUAACUCGGCCAGCUUCAUCUGGUACCAUCCUACUGUCACAUACAAACAGCUGUUUCCUGAACCCAGUGAUACCAAGGUAAAGAGGACUCUAGCUCUGCCAAGGGUCAGAUUGGCUCCAGUCCUUCCCAGCAGAGCCAGGGAGUAACUAUGGUUUUCAUGACAGUACCGUCAUGAAACCACAGGUUGUAGCUGGUUCCAGUUCUUCUCAGGUCAUCUCCAGUUCUGACCCUCGGAACCUUUGACAGGAUGUUCUAGACCCGUGGUCCCCUGGCUUAAUCAGUGCUCUCUGGAAUGAGUCAGAACACCAUCCAUCGACACUAACCUGCAUUCCUAUGUUUUCAUGACUUAAUAAAUGAUACAAUGUUUAUUUUGUCUAUUGACUAAAGAACUGAUUGGCUUUCUACAGUUUUUAAUGUA